RNAcentral lists this ribosomal RNA (253 nucleotides) under uncultured bacterium. Its description in RNAcentral is "partial 16S ribosomal RNA". It matches the Rfam family "Bacterial small subunit ribosomal RNA", at positions 524 to 776 of the family's 1533-position model. The record is from RNAcentral.
UACGGGGGGGGCAAGCGUUGUUCGGAAUUACUGGGCGUAAAGGGCUCGUAGGCGGCCUUCUAAGUCGAACGUGAAAUCCCUCGGCUCAACCGGGGAACUGCGUCUGAGACUGGAAGGCUUGAAUCCGGGAGAGGGAUGUGGAAUUCCAGGUGUAGCGGUGAAAUGCGUAGAUAUCAGGAGGAACACCGGUGGCGAAGGCGGGUCUCUGGGCCGAUACUGACGCUGAGGAGCGAAAGCGUGGGGAGCGAACAGG